GGGAAGUUGGCUCAGUGGUAGAGUGCUUGCCUUGCAUGCAUGAGGGCCCUGGGUUCGAUUCCUCAGUACCA
Molecule: non-coding RNA, 71 nt
Organism: Dipodomys ordii (Ord's kangaroo rat)
Lineage: Eukaryota; Metazoa; Chordata; Mammalia; Rodentia; Heteromyidae
Source: Rfam